Molecule: ribosomal RNA, 491 nt
Filed under: uncultured bacterium
Lineage: Bacteria
Description: partial 16S ribosomal RNA
Rfam family: Bacterial small subunit ribosomal RNA
Source: RNAcentral
AGUGAACGCUGGCGGUAGGCCUAACACAUGCAAGUCGAACGGCAGCACAGUAAGAGCUUGCUCUUACGGGUGGCGAGUGGCGGACGGGUGAGGAAUACAUCGGAAUCUACUUUUUCGUGGGGGAUAACGUAGGGAAACUUACGCUAAUACCGCAUACGACCUACGGGUGAAAGCAGGGGAUCUUCGGACCUUGCGCGAUUGAAUGAGCCGAUGUCGGAUUAGCUAGUUGGCGGGGUAAAGGCCCACCAAGGCGUCGAUCCGUAGCUGGUCUGAGAGGAUGAUCAGCCACACUGGAACUGAGACACGGUCCAGACUCCUACGGGAGGCAGCAGUGGGGAAUAUUGGACAAUGGGCGCAAGCCUGAUCCAGCCAUACCGCGUGGGUGAAGAAGGCCUUCGGGUUGUAAAGCCCUUUUGUUGGGAAAGAAAAGCAGCAGGUUAAUACCCCGCUGUUCUGACGGUACCCAAAGAAUAAGCACCGGCUAACUUCGU